CAUGCCCCUUAUACGCUGGGCUACACACGUGCUACAAUGGGUAGAACAGAGAGUUGCAAAGCCGUGAGGUGGAGCUAAUCUCAGAAAACUAUUCUUAGUUCGGAUUGUACUCUGCAACUCGAGUACAUGAAGUUGGAAUCGCUAGUAAUCGCGAAUCAGCAAUGUCGCGGUGAAUACGUUCUCGGGUCUUGUACACACCGCCCGUCACACCACGAGAGUUGGUUGCACCUGAAGUAGCAGGCCUAACCGUAAGGAGGGAUGCUCCGAGGGUGUGAUUAGCGAUUGGGGUGAAGUCGUAACAAGGUAUCCGUACGGGAACGUGCGGAUGGAUCACCUCCUUUCUAAGGAGACAAUGUCUUUCUCUAUUCUAUUGGUAAUGUUCUUACAUUACUUCUGAACAUUGGAAACUAUAUAGUAGAACAAAAAUAACUCUAAACAAUUUCUUAGAGUUAGCUGUCAAAAAAUAGAUUAAAAUAAUUAAGGGCACACAAAGGAUGCCUAGGUAGUAAGAGCCGAUGAAGGACGUGGUAAGCUGCGAUAAGCCUAG
Molecule: small RNA, 547 nt
Filed under: uncultured Fusobacterium sp.
Lineage: Bacteria; Fusobacteriati; Fusobacteriota; Fusobacteriia; Fusobacteriales; Fusobacteriaceae
Description: bacterial SSU rRNA
Rfam family: Bacterial small subunit ribosomal RNA (bases 1-341)
Source: RNAcentral